AUGGGGGGCACCCUGACCGAGCAACGCCGCGUGGAGGAUGACGGUUUUUGGAUUGUAAACUCCUUUUCUCAGGGAAGAGUGAGGACGGUACCUGAGGAAUAAGUCACGGCUAACUACGUGCCAGCAGCCGCGGUAAUA
This 138-nucleotide ribosomal RNA is filed under the name uncultured Chloroflexota bacterium. RNAcentral describes it as "uncultured Chloroflexi bacterium partial 16S ribosomal RNA". It matches the Rfam family "Bacterial small subunit ribosomal RNA", at positions 371 to 525 of the family's 1533-position model. Lineage: Bacteria; Bacillati; Chloroflexota. The record is from RNAcentral.